Molecule: long non-coding RNA, 1457 nt
Filed under: Homo sapiens (human)
Lineage: Eukaryota; Metazoa; Chordata; Mammalia; Primates; Hominidae
Description: HSALNT0353806
Source: RNAcentral
ACACCUCGGCCGGCGCAGCGCCCCGAGUAGAUUACAGCGCGGCCUUUGUCGGGCGGGCCUGGCUCCCGGCCAGGCGCCCAAACAAUAAACAAUCCCCCGGGUGCGGGCAGGGGGUUUCGCCGGCCGCAGCCAGGCUCUAGGUGUGCGCUGGCGAAUAUCUCUAUCAACCGCGAGGAGGGACCGGGCCGGGGGCGCGGGCGCCGCGGCGGGCGCUCUUACCUUCCACCCACAGCUCCUCCACGUUGGUCUCGAGGUUCGCUGCUUUUAAUCCCACCGCGAAGGCCCCAAAUAUGAGGAGGCCCACAACCAAGAACUUGCCGCAGUUUUUUUGAAUGUAACAACCCAGUUUAAAUAAGAGUCUCUGAAACUUCGCUCUCAGCCACAGCGGCGCUUUCCGGCCAGUAGCCUUCCCCUGGGGACGAAGCAGAAGGGAGGAGUGAGCGCCGGGGAGUCGCGGCCCGCGCGCCCACGCCCGCUUGCGCGCACCCGCCCGGUGAGCCCCCAACAGCCGUGGGGGCGCGGGUGGCCGCGGCACACGGACUCGCCCUCGAGACUGCAGCCCCGGCGGAUCUGAGCGUCAUGGGGGGCUCGGUCAUAAAGCCGGGCCGCAGCGUGGGAGCUGCACCUCGGGGACAUCAGGGCGCCCCCACCCGCGGGAUCCCUGAGCGACUUGGGGCACUGGGGCUGCAAUACAGAAGAGGAAGCCGAGGUAGAGAGGAGAGAAACCACUCGACACAGACAAUAUUCACCCCAGAGCUGAGAAGGGAGGGGCUGCGUAAUCCCAGCGAUGGAGCCCAAGGUUCAGGAGCCAGCAAACCAGUCCUGCUCUGUCCAUCACCCUCGGGGACGGGCGCUAGGGGCGAGCGCUCUUUGGAACAACAUAUUGCGGGUUCCCCCAACUGGACCCCCGCCGAGAAUGGUAGUAAGUGGGGAUCCACGUGGUGAGCGCGGCCGCCGGAGUUCACUCCCGACGCAUUUCCAUAGCGUGGGGAGAGGCUGUGUGAGCUGAAUUAGGAAGUGGGGCAGCCAGCUGCAACUUACGACAAUAUUUGUGAUCGGAAGAGGGCAGCCACAUGGAUCUUUCCCUCCUCUCCCUUCCUUUCUGGUUAAACGUAAAAAACAGCCGAGUGCAAAGGGAAGGGCUCAGGCCGGCGCAGGCUGCUCCCCGGCGCGGCAUUUCCCCGGCGCUGGCCGCGGCCCCGGCGGGCCCCCGUCUGGGUGCUCGCCUUCCCUGGAUUCCACACAUUUCAGCGAGCCUCGUAAACACAAUGAACCCGGCAGCUCCGCAGACUCGCACCGCGAAUUUAAGGUGGCAAUUUGUUUACAACUUUUCCUCCCCCGACCAGGCCCUAAGGAGAGGCGGCUCAAAACCUGGAAAACGGGGGGGAUAUCUUUUUCCGAGAAUAAUUUUUUAAGGGAGCAGAGAUUUCAUGCUCAACAAAACCAAAACUGGCUGC